Molecule: ribosomal RNA, 425 nt
Filed under: uncultured bacterium
Lineage: Bacteria
Description: bacterial SSU rRNA
Rfam family: Bacterial small subunit ribosomal RNA
Source: RNAcentral
UCGAGAAUCUUCGGCAAUGGACGAAAGUCUGACCGAGCGACGCCGCGUGCGGGAUGAAGGCCCUUGGGUUGUAAACCGCUGUCGUAGAGGAACAAAGGUAUGUGGGUUCUCCCAUGUAUUUGAGUGAUUCUAGGAGGAAGGAGAGGCUAAGCUCGUGCCAGCAGCCGCGGUAAGACGAGCUCUCCAAACGUUAUUCGGUAUCACUGGGCUUAAAGAGUUCGUAGGCGGCUUGACAGGUGAGGUGUGAAAGCCCACGGCCUAACCGUGGAAUUGCGCUUCAAACCGUCGGGCUAGAGGGAUGCAGGGGUAUGCGGAACAGAUGGUGGAGCGGUGAAAUGCGUUGAUAUCAUCUGGAACACCGGUGGCGAAAGCGGCAUACUGGGCAUUUUCUGACGCUGAGGAACGAAAGCUAGGGUAGCGAACGG